Long non-coding RNA from Metopolophium dirhodum (rose-grain aphid), 835 nucleotides. RefSeq lists it as uncharacterized. The transcript is spliced from 3 exons. The record is from RefSeq and is a predicted model, not a curated record. Lineage: Eukaryota; Metazoa; Arthropoda; Insecta; Hemiptera; Aphididae.
UUCAUAAUUUUGAGUGAAACCAACAAUAGCGGCUGUAAAUUUGUGUACAACACUACAAUGCAAUAUGCGUAAUAAAUGGUAUAUUGGUAUGUGCUUACAUUUUCUGAACGGAAAAAAAUAACGAUUUCCAAAUAUGGUAAUUACAAUUUACAGUCAUGACAUUAAUACGGUUAUAUGGCAUACGGGUAUUUUUAGUCAUCGUUUUUUUUCGUAGCGUUUAUAAUUGCACAUCGGAAACAAUACGAAAACAUUCAAGAGCCGCCGAAGCAGUAGUUUUUAGUAUUGAGAAAACCGAUUGAGAAUUGAGAACACGAUUGGCAAAUGGCAAUAAUCACAACGGUUACCACAACUGAUAAGUCACAGAUGAAUCUGACGCCCCAAUUGUGGGGACGACCAAGAAAUUUUACAAGAAGUCUCUUCUCAAAGUUUUGAAGCUAUAGGGGUCCUGGGUCUAUGUAAUGCAUUUGCUGUUUACCGUAGGUAGUAUGCCUACCUGAUAUGCAGUGGCGUAGGCGCAGGGCCGGCGCUAGAAGUAUUGGCACCCUGAGAGAAACUAUUUUUUGGCGCCUUUAACACCCUCCCCCUAGUUGAUAAUAGUAAUAAUAAUAUAAUAUAAUUUUAUUAUAAAUAGUCAAUAGACCGCACGAAUUAUUGUGCGAUAGAAAUCAUCACAUACUCAAUAUUAUAGUAUAAUAAAGCCACAACAGCCGUCGCUGCCGAAAGUAUUAUAUAGGCUGCCGUCCGAAUUGUACGACACGACGAAAAUAAUAUCGAAUAUGAUAUUAUAAUAUUUAUAGAUACUGCGAAAACAUGUUUAAGUGUUUUCAUAAUAAUA